RNAcentral lists this ribosomal RNA (267 nucleotides) under uncultured bacterium. RNAcentral describes it as "partial 16S ribosomal RNA". It matches the Rfam family "Bacterial small subunit ribosomal RNA", at positions 524 to 794 of the family's 1533-position model. The record is from RNAcentral.
UACGGAGGAGCUAGCGUGUCGGAAUACUGGGCGUAAGCGCACGUAGGCGGCUACACAAGUCAGAGGUGAAAGCCCGGGGCUCAACCCCGGAACUGCCUUUGGAAACUAGGUGGCUAGAAUCUUGGAGAGGUCAGUGGAAUUCCGAGUGUAGAGGUGAAAUUCGUAGAUAUUCGGAAGAACACCAGUGGCGAAGGCGACUGACUGGACAAGUAUUGGCGCUGAGGUGCGAAAGCGUGGGGAGCAAACAGGAUUAGAUACCCCCGUAGU